CACGUAGGGGGCUAGCGUUGUCCGGAAUCAUUGGGCGUAAAGCGCGUGUAGGCGGUCCGGUAAGUCCGCUGUGAAAGUCGAGGGCUCAACCCUCGAAUGCCGGUGGAUACUGUCGGGCUUGAGUACGGGAGAGGCGAGUGGAAUUCCUGGUGUAGCGGUGAAAUGCGCAGAUAUCAGGAGGAACACCGAUUGCGAAGGCAGCUCGCUGGAACGUUACUGACGCUGAGACGCGAAAGCGUGGGGAGCAAACAGG
Molecule: ribosomal RNA, 253 nt
Filed under: uncultured bacterium
Lineage: Bacteria
Description: partial 16S ribosomal RNA
Rfam family: Bacterial small subunit ribosomal RNA
Source: RNAcentral